UGAGUAACACGUAUGCAACCUGCCUGUAAGCGGGGAAUAACCCGUUGAAAGACGGACUAAUACCGCAUAAUACUAAAUUACUGCAUGGUAAUUUAUUUAAACAUUUAUGGCUUACAGAUGGGCAUGCGCAUGAUUAGCUAGUUGGAGAGGUAACGGCUCCCCAAGGCAACGAUCAUUAGGGGUUCUGAGAGGAAGGUCCCCCACACUGGUACUGAGACACGGACCAGACUCCUACGGGAGGCAGCAGUGAGGAAUAUUGGUCAAUGGACGAGAGUCUGAACCAGCCAAGUCGCGUGCAGGAAGAAUGUCCUAAUGGAUUGUAAACUGCUUUUGCAGGGGAAUAAAGUGCAUCACGUGUGAUGUUUUGUAUGUACUCUGCGAAUAAGGAUCGGCUAACUCCGUGCCAGCAGCCGC
Molecule: ribosomal RNA, 414 nt
Filed under: uncultured bacterium
Lineage: Bacteria
Description: bacterial SSU rRNA
Rfam family: Bacterial small subunit ribosomal RNA
Source: RNAcentral